This 866-nucleotide long non-coding RNA is filed under the name Homo sapiens (human). RNAcentral's name for it is "ZNF213 antisense RNA 1". Lineage: Eukaryota; Metazoa; Chordata; Mammalia; Primates; Hominidae. The record is from RNAcentral.
CCUGCACCCGGGAGGAAAGGCGAGGCUCUGCAUCUAGAUUUACCUCGUUCUCUUUUGUCUCCGCUUUUUUUUCACAUUUCCUUGCGACCCUGGCCCUUGAGCGACAAAAAGGGGAAGCCAAGGCUGGCCCGAGGAACGGAGAGGGCACAUGGCCUAGCCACAAGUGGAGCUUCUGCUCCGCCCGAAGGGAUGCGCUGGAGCGGCCUCUUCCUUCUGCCACGGUCUUUCUUUGCCAACUAGUAGGCUCCGGCAUGACGGGUGACUUCUUCCGAGUCUGGCUUCUGCAGCACACAGGGCUUCGCCAGCACCCAGCUCCUGCAGCAUGGGCAGCUCCUGUGACAGCAGGCGCCCGCAGCCUGCAAAGCGUCUCCAGUGCCGCCGCCUCAGUGAACCUCAACCAGCGGCACCUAGCAGCUUUCUCUGCCACCCUCUUCAGGUCUGGAUCUAAGCCCAGGGACCAGGAAACCUCUUGCUUGAGUGCUGGAACUCAGGCCAGAAGGCAGGAAGCCCGCCUGACCCCAUGUCUCAGGCUGCCAGAGGAGCGUGCGAUGAGGAAGGCUGGACUGUCUUCACAGGACACCAGGGAGAAGCCUCAAGCCACUGCCCCCUGACAAGUCGCAGCUCUCCAGCCUGUCUCCUCACUCCCCUCCCCUCCACAUGGGGGGGUUGGGGUGGGGGCGGGGAAGGUUCGGGGCAGGGGUCAUUUCAGCUACUGGGCACCAGUCUCCUCCUCAUGUUUAUCCUGUUCCCUUUGCUUGAAAGGUUCGUACUCCAGAUCCUUGUAAAACCGCUUCUCACCCUUUGAGUCUCAGCUUAAAUGUCCCCUCCUUGGAGGGGUCUUCCCUGACAAUGAAGCUCCGACCGUC